GGAAGGGUGCUGGAGUGGCUGAACAGGCACGCCUGGAGAGCGUGUAGGCGGGGGAACCCGCCUCGUGGGUUCAAAUCCCACCCCUUCCGCCA
This 92-nucleotide transfer RNA is filed under the name bacterium. Its description in RNAcentral is "tRNA-Ser". It matches the Rfam family "tRNA". Rfam says of the family: Transfer RNA (tRNA) molecules are approximately 80 nucleotides in length. Their secondary structure includes four short double-helical elements and three loops (D, anti-codon, and T loops). The record is from RNAcentral.